This 253-nucleotide ribosomal RNA is filed under the name uncultured bacterium. Its description in RNAcentral is "partial 16S ribosomal RNA". It matches the Rfam family "Bacterial small subunit ribosomal RNA", at positions 524 to 776 of the family's 1533-position model. The record is from RNAcentral.
UACGGAGGGGGCUAGCGUUGUUCGGAAUUACUGGGCGUAAAGCGCACGUAGGCGGCUUUGUAAGUCAGAGGUGAAAUCCCGGGGCUCAACCCCGGAACUGCCUUUGAGACUGCAUCGCUUGAAUCCAGGAGAGGUGAGUGGAAUUCCGAGUGUAGAGGUGAAAUUCGUAGAUAUUCGGAAGAACACCAGUGGCGAAGGCGACUUACUGGACGAUUGUUGACGCUGAGGUGCGAAAGCGUGGGGAGCAAACAGG